Molecule: ribosomal RNA, 500 nt
Filed under: uncultured bacterium
Lineage: Bacteria
Description: partial 16S ribosomal RNA
Rfam family: Bacterial small subunit ribosomal RNA
Source: RNAcentral
GACGAACGCUGGCGGCGUGCUUAACACAUGCAAGUCGAACGGGUCUGCCCUGUUUUUUGCGGGGUGGGUCAGUGGCGAACGGGUGAGUAACACGUGAGUAACCUGCCCCUCACUUCUGGAUAACCGCUUGAAAGGGUGGCUAAUACGGGGUGUUCUGGCUGUGCCGCAUGGUGUGGCUGGGAAAGAUUCACUUUUGUGGUGUUUUGGUGGGGGAUGGGCUCGCGGCCUAUCAGCUUGUUGGUGGGGUGAUGGCCUGCCAAGGCUUUGACGGGUAGCCGGCCUGAGAGGGUGGGCGGUCACACUGGGACUGAGAUACGGCCCAGACUCCUGCGGGAGGCAGCAGUGAGGGGUAUUGCACAAUGGGCGGAAGCCUGAUGCAGCGACGUCGCGUGAGGGAUGGAGGCCUUCGGGUUGUGAACCUCUUUCGCCGGUGAAGAAGGUCCUGCUCUUUGUGGUGGGGUUGACGGUAGCCGGGUUAUGAAGCGCCGGCUAACUACGUG